RNAcentral lists this transfer RNA (72 nucleotides) under Millerozyma farinosa. RNAcentral describes it as "transfer RNA-Gly". It matches the Rfam family "tRNA". From Rfam's summary of the family: Transfer RNA (tRNA) molecules are approximately 80 nucleotides in length. Their secondary structure includes four short double-helical elements and three loops (D, anti-codon, and T loops). The record is from RNAcentral. Lineage: Eukaryota; Fungi; Ascomycota; Pichiomycetes; Serinales; Debaryomycetaceae.
GUGACAAUAGGUUAAAUGGUAAACCCUGGCACUUCCAAUGCCAUUAUGUGUGUUCAAUUCACACUUGUCAUA